GGAGAGAUGGCUGAGCUCGGUUUAAGGCACUCGACUCGAAAUCGAACGUAGGCUUAACACCUACCGUGGGUUCGAAUCCCACUCUCUCCGCCA
This 93-nucleotide transfer RNA is filed under the name Verrucomicrobiia bacterium Tous-C4TDCM. Its description in RNAcentral is "Verrucomicrobiae bacterium Tous-C4TDCM tRNA-Ser". It matches the Rfam family "tRNA". Rfam says of the family: Transfer RNA (tRNA) molecules are approximately 80 nucleotides in length. RNAcentral also lists the same sequence under 1 other name. The record is from RNAcentral. Lineage: Bacteria; Pseudomonadati; Verrucomicrobiota; Verrucomicrobiia.